GAUGAAGAACGCAGCGAAAUGCGAUACGUAAUGUGAAUUGCAGAAUUCAGUGAAUCAUCGAGUCUUUGAACGCACAUUGCGCCCCCUGGUAUUCCGGGGGGCAUGCCUGUCCGAGCGUCAUUGCUGCCCUCAAGCACGGCUUGUGUGUUGGGCCUCCGUCCUCCUCCCGGGGGGCGGGCCCGAAAGGUAGCGGCGGCACCGCGUCCGGUCCUCGAGCGUAUGGGGCUUCGUCACCCGCUCUUGUAGGCCCGGCCGGCGCUUGCCGACACAUCAAUCUUUUUUCCAGGUUGACCUCGGAUCAGGUAGGGAUACCCGCUGAACUUAAGCAUAUCAAUAAGCGGAGGA
This 345-nucleotide unclassified non-coding RNA is filed under the name soil metagenome. RNAcentral's name for it is "partial contains 5.8S ribosomal RNA, internal transcribed spacer 2, and large subunit ribosomal RNA". The stretch from base 1 to 120 matches the Rfam family "5.8S ribosomal RNA", at positions 35 to 154 of the family's 154-position model. The record is from RNAcentral.